Molecule: unclassified non-coding RNA, 246 nt
Filed under: uncultured fungus
Lineage: Eukaryota; Fungi
Description: sequence contains ITS1
Source: RNAcentral
GUUUUUUCAAGUUUGUGUGCAAGGUGACCAAAAAUAAAUGGCCACAGGCGUGUAAACGUUUGCAAAGCAUGACGGGAGUUGUUCAAGGGCCCUGCGUUGCCCGGAGGCAAGCUUGAAUGCGGCCGGGCCAGCCGAUACGGUUCUUUGAUACGACAGGUGGGAUGUAAAAGAGGCGCGCGAGCUUUGGGGGCCCCAACGCGCUCUUUGUGUUUGUAAAUGAUCCAUCCGCAGGUUCACCUACGGAUA